UACGGAGGGCGCAAGCGUUGUUCGGAAUCACUGGGCGUAAAGCGCGUGUAGGCGGCCGGGCAAGUCGGGUGUGAAAUCCCGAGGCUCAACCUCGGAACUGCACUCGAAACUGCUCGGCUCGAGUCCCGGAGAGGGUGGCGGAAUUCCCGGUGUAGGGGUGAAAUCCGUAGAUAUCGGGAGGAACACCAGUGGCGAAGGCGGCCACCUGGACGGUGACUGACGAUGAGACGCGAAAGCGUGGGGAGCAAACAGG
Molecule: ribosomal RNA, 253 nt
Filed under: uncultured bacterium
Lineage: Bacteria
Description: partial 16S ribosomal RNA
Rfam family: Bacterial small subunit ribosomal RNA
Source: RNAcentral